This 254-nucleotide ribosomal RNA is filed under the name uncultured bacterium. RNAcentral describes it as "partial 16S ribosomal RNA". It matches the Rfam family "Bacterial small subunit ribosomal RNA", at positions 524 to 776 of the family's 1533-position model. The record is from RNAcentral.
GACGAACCGUGCGAACGUUAUUCGGAAUCACUGGGCUUAAAGCGCGUGUAGGCGGGCCGGCACGUCGGCUGCUGAAAUCCCGCGGCUCAACCGCGGAACGGGCACCGAUACGACCGGCCUGGAGGGGGGUAGGGGGAGCCGGAACUUCCGGUGGAGCGGUGAAAUGCGUUGAGAUCGGAAGGAACGCCCGUGGCGAAAGCGGGCUCCUGGACCCCGCCUGACGCUGAGACGCGAAAGCCAGGGGAGCGAACGGG